GGGGAGAGAGGGAGAGAGAGAGAGAGAGAGAGAGAGAGAAUCUGAAGCAGACUCCACGCCAUCAGUACAGAGCCCCAUGUAAGACUCGAACCCAUGAACCACAAGAUCAUGACCUGAGCCGAAGUCAGACACUCAACCAACUGAGCCACCCAGGUGCUCCCUGACUCUUACAUUUUUAGAUUACACUCUUUCUAAAAAGUUUUUUCCUCUGAUGUUCCAAAAGUACCACAUGCUCAUUGUAGGCAAUUUGAUCAGUAUCAAAAAACUAUAAUGAAUAAGAAAUAAGGGGAGAAUAUCCUUUUUAAGAACAUGGAGACAGGAUUGGAAAGCUGAUCCAGGGAUUGCAGGUGUGGGAAUGAGAAAGUCUAUUUAGCCAGCAAACCCUGAAUUAGAUUCUUCAGGCUGGAUUCAAGUAAUUCUUCUACCCUUAUGGACUAUAUGGCAUUGACUGUAUAUACCAUUGACCCUUGAAUAAUACAAGGAUUGGGGUGCCAAGUCUCAUUGAAGUACAAUAUUCAUGUAUAACUUUUGAGUCCCCCAGAACUUUAGUACUCAAGUAAUAGUCUACUAUUAACCAGAAGCCUUAGUGAUAACAUAAAGUCAAUUAACACAUCUUUGUAUGUUUUGUGUAUCAUAUAUUAUUAUAGUAAACUAGAGGAAAGCAAAUGUUACUGAGAAAAUCAUAAGGAAAAUACAUUUACAGUACUGUACUGUAAAAUUCUGCAUAUAAGUGGACCUGUGUUGUUUAAGGGUCAAACUUGUUUUGUUCAAAGGUCAACUAUAUAUAGAUAUCACUGAGUCAUUAAACCCAUGAUUUUGCUGAUAUUUUGUAAAGGACAGGGGUUGAAUGAGUAGAUUAACUCAGUAGUGCUCAGGUUGACAAAAAUCAUGGAAGGUGGUAGCUGAAUGAUUGGGGUUUGAAAGCCUGCUACAGAAUGUAGACCUUUGGCAACAAAGGCACAGGGAGAGUGCCACGUGAGGACGGAGGACUGGAGAGAUGCAUCCAUAAACCAAGGAACUCCUGAGGCCACCAGAAGCAGGGUAGAAGCCUGGAACAGGUCCUUCCCAGUGCCUUCAUGGGGGAGUAUAGCCUACUGACUUCUUGACUUGAGACUCUGGCUUUCAGAACUGGGAGAUAAUAAAUUUCUGCUGUUUUUAGCCACCUGGUAUGUGGUACUUCAUUAUGGCAGCCCUAGGAAACUAAUGUACCCAUUAUCCUCAGCAGUGUCUCAAGACUUCAAGAAGGUCUUCACAGCCAGAGUCUGGAGAAUCCUGCAUUGGCCUUUUCCCAGCCCUACUCCUAAAGGCCGCUCCCUGUGACUAACUAGCAUGUGCUUGGGCAUUUUUGAUUGGAACUGACUUAGUUGAACUUGCGUGAUCGCUCCUACCCAGCUGAGAGCUCAGAAUCCCCAAGAAACAGGAGAUGGUAGAUGCAUUUCAUAGAAGAGUUGGGAGGAAGAAAAAUCCGGGUCAUGGGUGUGGGGAAACUGUGGAAGGGGGACAUAACUGCAGACAGAGGGACGGGAACAAAGGGACUCCCCUUAUUUCUUUGCUGGUGAAGGCUUGAGGUGUUCUACCCCUGCCUCGACCCUGGUAUCAGUCCUCACGGCAGUAUUUGGGGAGACAGGGAUAAGAGAGCUGCGUGCUUGUCCUGGCACAGCCAUGAACUUUGUGUCCUCAGACUAUUCACUUAGUCUCAGGGAUUAGUUCCACCCUUAUAAUUCUGGGAAGACCUAGCUGUUUGAUUCCAAAUGGAGAAAUAGAAAAUUCUAGGAUGAGCUCACCUAUAAGAACAGCAGUGAUUAAUUGCCUGCCUCGUUCUGGUUCAUUUCCAGCACUGUUAUUUAUGUUGUUCCUCUUAAUUUGUUCCUGCUGUUUCAGCUUUACAAGGGGUAUCCAAUUACUUCCUCUGUGACAUUUUUUUUUUUUAAACUUUUGAGUGCCAGAAAUCUCACCUCAGAAGGGGUUUCUUUUUCUGGUAAAAAUCUCUUGAAUCGGUCCCUUUCUUUCUGUGAGGGCUGCUCCUGCCCAGGUCCAGGGCCUCUGCAUCUCAGGUCUGGGUUCUUACAGGUGUCAUCCCUAAAAGGAGCCUUCCUGCUUCCCAGGUGGCCCAUUCGCUAUAUUGUGCCAGCCAGAAUCUGGGGCUCAUCCCUGGCUCGCUCUUUCCCCUCACCCCACUCCAAUUAGUUACCGCUAAGACCUCACUAUUCUACUUCCUUGAUAUCUGUCAGAUCCACCCUUUUCUCUCCACCCUCACCUCUGUCACACUGCUCAGCAGAACUACUGAUAUCCAAAUGGGGUUCCUGCAUUAUACACACCUUUCCAGCCGGCAUGCACUGUCCCUAGAAUGUGCUUGCUUAUGGGCAGCUCACCUGUAUCAAAGCUUGUAAUAAAGGGCCCUACAAAUCCAGAAUAGAGUCUCAACUCUUCAGUGGGGCGUAUGAGGCCUUUUAGAGUAGCUCCUACUUGCCUCUCAAAGUCAUGUCCCUCCCACUCAUGCUCUUUUGGGUUCUCCAUAAAGCACGUGCAGCUCCUAGAACAGGCAACACUUUUCUUUCCCACCUCUGGCUCUUCCUUCUACCUGGAACACCUUUAUCUUUGAUCCUCACCUUCACUCCAUUCCUCGUUCAGGACUCAACUCACUGGACUUUUCUGGAAUGGAGGAGUCACUCCACCUUCUAUGUCCCUCACAUGGUCUGUUCUCCGUCCCAUUUCUGCCAUGCCACACUGCAAGUCCCAUGGGACAGAGGAGGGAUUUGCUCACUGCUGUAUCCACAUGGAAGCCUCUCAAAAUUCAUCAGAUGACUUGUUGAAUGAAUGGAUAUUUAAAUUCAUGCAUAUAAAUGUGAAUGAUUGAAUGAGUGGAGACGUUUGCAUAGCAUCAUGACGGAACCUUGUCUCUGCAUUCGUGUAAGCUGUGCUUGCUGCUCAGACCAAUAGGAAAUCUACUCUGAUGCCAGAGUCAACCCAUAGCAGGAUAAUUCAGGAAAAUUGAAUUAAAAUUUUAAAAGUAAUGUUUUUUAGAUUUUCCUUCUUGGAAUGCAUUAGAAAGUGAGACCGGAGACCAACGCCAUCCUGGGAUGGCUUAGCAUCACCCUGGAGGUUGGGGGGAGAGCCUGGAAAUGACUAGAUUUCCCUCAAACUCUUUGAAUCUGGUCUCAGGUUUAUUCUGGGAGCCUUUCCCACUACCCGACCAAGAAGCGAUUUACUGAACAAUGACCUCAUUUUACAUUUCACAAUAUGUGUGUCAUAUAAGCAGUCUGUGCUGCUGAAUGGUUUCCUGUAAACAUUUACAAUGGUUUGAGACACUGGGGCCAGUCCCCAAUAGUUCUGGGAAAGACUUUUUAGAAAACAAGAAGGAACCUCUGCCCCAACUGUACAUUGGACACUGCAGAGUAAUUAUACAGUAGAGGUCAGGCCCAGGGUGAUAAUUAGCCUUGGGGGUGCCAGAGGGCCUCCUCGCUUUUGCUCUCCCAGCAAUUUUCUGGGAGGAGACAGAGCUGAGUUUCAGCAGGAUGGAGGCCGCUGGGUGUGAAACGCCCUCCACUUCACACCGGGGGCCCAUGUGCCACAUGGACUAGACCUUGCUCCCAAAGCGUGGUCUCAGGAUCUACAGCAUCAGCAUCACCUGGGAGCUUACUGGAAGUGUAGGAUCUCAGGAACCACUCAGAGCUGCCAGUCAGAAUCUGCGUGUUAACAUCCUGGCGACUCAAAAGCAUGUUACAUUUUAGGAAGUCAUGAACUAGAACUCAGGUGUCAGGACCUCACUUGAGAGGCAGCAGGGAAGCACCUGUGAGGCUGGCUCAGCCACUCAGUAAAACUCAGAACUAUAAACAUCCUGCCACUUCCAGGCAAACAUGGCUCCCGGCAGCUGUUGUCCAAAUACAACAUGAGCCAGAUGCCAUUCCAGAUCCCUAAUCCAGCUUUCAUCAGACCUAAUUCCCUACCACCUCUCAUGAGAGGGACCAGAGAGACUUGGAUGACAUUAGGAUUGCAUAACUACACUUCUCAUGAAGUUUCUUCCACCUUAAGGCUUCGUUCAGCAUUUUGGCAUCCUGAUCCACAUCAAAACCUUGAUGACUUCUUGCUUUGGCCUGGAGAAAAUAAUUGAAAAGGUACAUGCGGAAAUCAGCUUGGGAAACUCUGGCCCCAGAGAGACGACUGGUACUCCUUGGAGCCAGCUGGCCUUGGAUGACCACUGAGAAUGGGCCUCUCUGUUCAUAAGGACAAUCAGCCUGGCCAUCUCUGGGUUGAGACAUUUUGACAUCAAGCCUACCUUUGUGUGACUGCCUCUGAAACAGAGAAUAAUACAGUGGGCCAAUGUCCUGGAAUGCUGGUUCUACCCUCUUGUCAUGAGACACAAGUGUGUCUAGGGAGUAAGUGUUGCCAGGCAGAAGCUGAGGGUUCUAAGAUUUUAUGACAGAUCCAUCCAUUUGGUGACCUGGGCUAAAGCUUUGCCAUCCACACAACGAGAGACAUAACAUUUAGUUUGCCAGAGACACCUACCGACCAGAAGUAGCAGAGUUACUGGUUUUUACUGUUCCUCGGGGAGAGAAAGUUCUGUUCGUAUACUAAGUUAGGGUUUCUCCUUUUACUUCAGUCAUUGGUAUAAUAGAUGCACUAAUUUGUCCACAGCUACCUAAGUCUAUGUUAUUAUUAUCUGCUUACAAUUUUUCUUUCAGCUGACUUAGCUGGGUUUUACUUAAAGUUAUUUUUAAAAGGAAAUUUUCUAUUAGCACUAAAAUGGAAAAACAAUAUUGGUUGCCUAAACAAAAGCAACAUAAAAAUAAAUGCAUCACUAUUAAAAAUUUAAAGAUGUGAGGUUAAUUGCAGUGACACAACUAUUAGCUUUGAACCUACCCUGUGUUUUUGCAAUUCUUUGCCUCUCCUCACAGAGAUUAUCUUUGAUGACACGUGUCACUUAUUUCCCACCCUUCAAUGAAGGAGUGAUCAUGCUACUGUCUACACCACCUACCCAAUUCCCCUCUCCCACCUUUCGUUUUCCUUGGCCCCCAUUGGGAAGGCAUAAUAAACCACAUAAAGCACAGUAGACAUAUUGCACUUAUUUGUCUGGCAUUGCUAUUCCUUUGGUGGGGGGCUUCCCUUUCCCCCAUUUUAUGUGUUUUCAUGGGGGCUGUCAGUCAUGAGGCUUGAGCCCCCUUGUCCCACCCUUGGGUGGGCACAAACCCUGCCACUCUGGCAACUGUGACUGGUUCAGGAGUAGGAGUAUAAUCCAAGCAGUAUCAGAGUCUUUUCUUUGGUUGAUAUAGAAAGAGAUGUCUUCUGACUGGGCUUGUUCAGCUGAAAGAGUGAGUCUAGGCCUGCUGGUUGCCAUUUUAUCCUCUGCAUGAAGGGACAUGAGUUCAGAGUGAAGCAAGGCAGAGACAAAAAGAGUGGAAAUAUGGAGAGAGAAAGAGAGACUGAAUACCACUGUAUAAAUCCUCGGACGCAGCAAUGCCUGUUUCCUAGCUCUUCCCAUUUUCAUUAAUAAACUACGACUUUCUCGAAGUUAGUAAGUUGGGUUUCUGCCCUUGCAACCAAAAGUGUUCUGAGUAAUAUCCACAGAAUAGAGGAGGGCUGACUUCUAGGCCUUUCUUAAUAGAGAUUCAUGUAAUCCUAGAGCCAAAGGGAUCUUCUAGGGCCGCCAGUCAUCUCUCUGCCUUAUGGGAUCCCUCCAUUACACAGCCCAUCUUGAAGUAUCUCUUUCUGAAGCAUGCUGGGAAGGGGACUUACAUCUCUUGAGCACCUGCCACAUGCCAGACAAUUUCUUCGUUUACAGACCUUUCUUCAUUAUUAACCCAGAAGAGUAGCCAUUAGGAGUCUAAACUUACAGAGAAGGACAUCAGGCAGGUUAAGUAAGGAAGGCGUCUGAACACUUGCGGAUAUAGGCAAGCCCAGCAUGGUUUGCCUCCUAAAGCCCAUGCUCUCAGUCCCAUGCACCAUCCUGCCUCGUGCUCUAAGUAGGAUGGGGGCCUUUAUGUUCAGCAUUUUUUUCUUUCCAAAUCUCUUGUGUGGUGUGAGAAAGCUAUCUGGUGCCGCUGAAGGCUUGCUGGCAGGACCAUCGACAGAAUUUUCAGGGCUCAAUGCAAAAUAAAAAUGUAGGGUCCUUGUUCCAAAUGGAUUUAGAACUUCAAGAUGGUGACAUCAGAGCGUUAAAGAAAGCUCGAGGCCUUUCUGAGUGCUGGGUCUGUGCACCUGCACAGGCUGACACUAUGGAGCCCGUCCUGCCUGUUGAUCAAGUUCUCUGAGUGUGGGAGAGUGGCAAAUGGCAAUCUCAGAAGAGUGAAUGGUGUCUUUGCUUUUCAUUAGAAGGAUUUUGUGGAAGGUUCGGGGAGUGAGGUGCCAUUGAACCAGAGCAGCACACAUCUCCUCUUAAUAAGCUGUUCAUAAACCGUUCUGAUGUCAUUUGAGCCUCAUCAGGGCAAAGAAUCUGGUGGGACACUUAUAUUUGCCCCACCUCACAUAAAUUGAAACAGAGGCACAGGGCUCUGUGAAUAGCUAGGGAGGUUGUGCCCUGGCUGAGGGGCAGGGGGGCUGGAGUCCAGCUGGGAUUACAUUUGCUAAGCCAGCAGGGCUGCUUCUCCCCCAGAGAGACACAUUUUUUCCUCAGUUGCACAGAGAUGCAGCCAGGACUUGCAGAAGCCCUGUGGAGACUUGCUUAAGAUCCCCUGGCCAGGUGAUGGCUGCGGGGGAGCCAGGGGUAGACUCGUUCUGUCAAGUAUGAAGAGACACUUCCGUCCUUCGUCCCCUUACUAUUUUAGUGAGGUGGGUCCUUGAUACAAAAAUAGAGUUAAAGGAGCCAAAAAUAAAGGGGGGGGGACCCUCUGAACAUAUCUAGUUUAUCCAAGGCCAAAAGAUGAAGUGUCAUUUAGU
This is a long non-coding RNA of Acinonyx jubatus (cheetah), 6873 nucleotides long. RefSeq lists it as uncharacterized. The record is from RefSeq and is a predicted model, not a curated record. The transcript has 6 exons. NCBI's taxonomy places the organism in Eukaryota, Metazoa, Chordata, Mammalia, Carnivora, Felidae.